This 433-nucleotide ribosomal RNA is filed under the name uncultured bacterium. Its description in RNAcentral is "partial 16S ribosomal RNA". It matches the Rfam family "Bacterial small subunit ribosomal RNA", at positions 29 to 507 of the family's 1533-position model. The record is from RNAcentral.
AACGAACGCUGGCGGCAUGCCUAACACAUGCAAGUCGAACGAGACCUUCGGGUCUAGUGGCGCACGGGUGCGUAACGCGUGGGAACCUGCCCUUAUGUUCGGAAUAACUCUCCGAAAGGGGUGCUAAUACCGGAUAAUGUCUUCUGACGAAAGAUUUAUCGCCUUUGGAUGGGCCCGCGUUGGAUUAGCUAGUUGGUAGGGUAAUAGCCUACCAAGGCGACGAUCCAUAGCUGGUCUGAGAGGAUGAUCAGCCACACUGGGACUGAGACACGGCCCAGACUCCUACGGGAGGCAGCAGUGGGGAAUAUUGGACAAUGGGCGAAAGCCUGAUCCAGCAAUGCCGCGUGAGUGAUGAAGGCCUUAGGGUUGUAAAGCUCUUUUACCCGGGAAGAUAAUGACGGUACCGGGAGAAUAAGCCCCGGCUAACUCCGUG